UCCAGACCUCUCAGGACUGCGCUGUUCCUUCCCCACUGUUACAACACUACCAGAGAGGAAGCCCUUUAACUUUGCAGCAUGGCUUCUAAGAGUCCUCUACACACUGUCUAGUGGUUCUUCAGCUACAUGUAGCCUGAGAUGAUUGGAGAGGAGAAGAUCUUUGGUUGAAAAGAAGUAAAAAGCUGCAGGGUGAAUGACGUCUUCUGCAUGUGCCACAGAGGCAGCAGAGCUCUAUACAGGGACCAGGGUGGAAGGAGGAGUGAGUACGUAGUCAUUGACCUACAGGGACGUGAAACACAUCUCUGGAAUCUCAUGCUGACUGUCUAAUCUUUUUGUCUAGGCUCUGCUGUUUAUUUUGAACAGAAGAGCAAUAGAAGAACUGAGGUUUCCAGAGGAGGGCUUUACCAUGCCACGCAUCUCUCCAGAAACCUAAAGAAGAUGACAUCCAGCAAACCAUGGUCUGCGCAUGGAGCAAGACUUCUUUGGUGUGCAUGAAAAGGCUACUUCAAGGCCAAGGAGCUGCAGAGCACAGAAGAGGCUGUGUGCAGUGGCUCACCCAGGGGCACGCGAGCGAUGCCGUUGUUCCUCCUGCAGCCUAGAACAGCACAGAAAUACCAACGUUGUCCCUCUUUCUCACUCUUUCCAGUGAUGCACAGCGCAGUUCCUCCUGGAGAUGGGCAAGGUAACCUUGCCUUCCAGAACCAGAACUUUCUCUCUUUGGGACACCAGCAUCUUGUUUGACCACCCAGGAGAUGCAAAGACUGUAAGCUCACAAUGUGAGAGAAUGAGAGCCGGGAGAGCCGAGCGUGGCGUUCCCACCCGUGACCACGGCGGAGCGCAGCCUGACGCGGGGAUGGGAGACCCAAAGGGACGCCGCGGUGCUGCAAAAACAAGGUAAACCCUUUCUGCUUUAUGUCAUUCUAUUCCUGAGGGAGAUGUGCUAAAGCCCCUGCCCCUUCUGCAAGGACAGAUAAAUUGUUUCGGAGCGAUUUUUACCAUCUCUAUUCCCUCUGCUGUGUAUCGGAGGACUGUUUUUCACCAGGAUCUCUAUUUCAUAGAUUCACAUUAGUGAAUUCAUAGAAUCACAGAAUGGCUUGGGUUGGGAGGGAUCUCAAAGAUCAUCUAGUUCCAACCACUAAUUCUUACUUAAAGCUACUGAGACGAUGCAGUUAUGAAUCAGGCCAUGCAGUUGUUGCUAUUUCAGAAGAAACCUAAGAGCAGACCAGCUUUAAUGAGAAAUAAAUUGUAAUCCAUCCCCACCAUUAAAAUUCACACGUAUGUGGCUAUCGAAGCAGUGAUCACGCAUUGCUCACGCAGAUUUACAGUCGGCUCUCAUUUACAUUUUGGGAGGUAAAAUGAGUAUUUAUUUCACAGGGAAUAUUUACGACCCAAGAAGUUUUUGUGGCUGCCUGUUGUAGGAACCAGCCCCUCUGCUUAUCCACAGGCUGAACACAGCUCAGACACGCGGUGCCUGAGCUCCCUGCACCGCUGCGGCACUGAACUUAGGCUUGAACGGGAGGAACUGCCUCUCUGCAAGAUGAGAGGGGAUUCAUUUUCCAUGCUAGCUCUUUCCUGGGGGGCUUUGCCAAGAAGAGAAAAACCACUUGCAGUUUUAUGUCUUUUCACCAUUUUUUUUUUUUUUUAAAGAACAUCAAAGUUAUCACUCCUGCUUUCUCACCAUAAUCCUGCAAAUCCUAAUGUAUGUCUCCCAGUCUUUUCAUACUAAAAGCAUGAGUGCAUGUGUUCUGCAGCAUUUCAGAGGUCGCAGACAGUUUCCUCAUUUGCAUACGCACUGUGGCACUAAAAGAGCCAAACCAAGGAAAGUAGUUCAAACUCAAACAUAUGGGUUUUUUCUUGGGUACUUUAAAGCCGAUUAUUAUUUUUAAAGUUACUUAUGUGACGUGAUGUCUAAUUCUGCUUCAGUGGAACAAGACGACUGGACAAAAAUGACUUUUCCAGGGUUUUUUUUUUUUUUGCCUCCCUCUUUCCCUGAACACUUUCUUCAAACUUUCAUGCUUAGCAAAAAACUCCCCUGUAAUUGUCUUGUCAUGAUUAUAGUUUUUCCCAUUCACUGCCGCUUUACAUGGAAGCCCCGGGAAAAGAAUUCUUAAAAAUUAAAUUUCAUGCUUGCAUGUGUUUCUGUGAUCUGCAGGGUGUAUGAUCUCCAAGUGGAAAACUUCUCUAAAAAUAAAUGGAUUACCCUUGCUCCGACGCUGUCUGAUGUCUGCGGAGCAGAUACCGCCGCUCGCCUGUGAUCUCCCGCCCACCGCAAUCGGGGUGACAGGCGUUGAGGCGAGGGCCGGGCCAUGGCGUGGGCUGGGGGAGCAGGGCCGGCUCGCUGCUGGAGGACAAAGGGUUGGCCUUCCCCACACAGCAAGGGGAAGAGCCUCGUCGCGUGGUUCGUGGGGAGGGCCAACAGCUUUCCACACCGAACGCCAUCUUGGGGAUUAUCUGCCACGCAGUCCUUCUCCACAGAGGGGUUGGGUUGAGCGGCUCGGUUUGGCCAGUUCAUUGGAGGUGUUGGUUCAGGGAUCAGCCGUGGCACAGCUUAGGCAAGGCAGCACCCAAGCCCUGAGCAACAAUCAGAGGGCCUCCAUGGGGCCUGAUGGCCUGCCCCCUCGGCCUGCACGGCUGCCUUUCCUCCGCAGCGCCCGGCCCUGCGCUGGGCCUGCAGGUGGUAUUGCAGCGCAAGAAAUAAGUACCGAUAGUGGCCAAGGGAUCCACUUUCAAGAUUUUCCUUCUUAUCUUGCAGCCCCAUCUUACCAGCCUUCUUCCCACGUGAGCGCACCCUUUUGACCUCACUGGAGUGAGGAGUUGCAGAUGCAGUGCAAGGCGUCGUGAACACCCUCCUCUUUCCCUGCUGUCUGGCUGUUUUGUGAUAGAUUUUCUGCUUCAAAGCUAGAAAUGACUUUGCAAGCCCUUGCUCCUGCGAUGCCACCCAGCAGCGACACUGCCAGGCGAGACACUGGUGCCCACAGGAAGACGCAGCGUGUCCCUCAUUGGCAUGGCUGCAUCAAGUCUUGACCCACAUAAGUAACAUUCCCUCGAGGGCCACCUUGAAAAGGGAUUAGGUAGAAAUGGGGAGAAAAAAAACAGAGCAGCUGAUAGCAGUAACACAUUCGCAGGAGCGGGAAGGCUGGUCCGGUGACUGAAUACCAGACUUGGACUCUGGAGAUCAAGGUUUAAUCCUCCAUUCUUCCACAGAUGUUGGCAAGUCACCUAAUCUCUCAGUGCCUCAGUUCCCCAUCUGUAAAAGGCAGAUAAUGGUGGUUCUUUUGUCUGCACUGUCUGCUUAGAUUUCUAAGUUUUUGAGGGCCAGGGAUGCUUCUUCAGGAGAGUGUAUACAGCACCUACCUCUGUAGGGGAAAUUGUACUGGAGCCUUCCAUGCUACAAAUGAUGAUUAAUAAUAAUAUCAGUCCUUUAAUUGUCAGGGAACUCGUGCUCUGUUGCAACAAAAUUAACAAUUAGUACAUGAUCGGAGCUUUAAUUGAAGCUGAAUAAAUAAUACUUUGUGUAACUUAAUGGGCAUUUACAGAAAACUUCUCCAUGGAGCCUGAGGGCAAUCUAAUUGUGAAGUGUCAUCUUCAGAUGUCCACAGCAACAAAUCCUAUCCCGUAAUGUUUGAGAGCUGUUUUCAAGUUGUGUGGCAAGGCAGAAGUUGUACUGAGGGCAUUUCUACCAGCUGCACCAUGGUUCUUCCCAGCCCACCGAGCAUUCAGGAGAAGCCCAACAAACCACAACAGUGGGAACUUCUCCAUUGCCCACAAAGCCUGGGAUGAAUUGUGUUGUUAUUACACCUAUCACAGCCCAAACCACCCAGCCUACUUUCAGACAGCAGUCACCUACAGUAACUAUUUCUAGAACUUCUCCUUUGCUGCCAAGCUCUGAGAUGUAAGUUUAAUAUUUUGAAGACCAUUCUCCCUUCGUUCCAAGGGGAAAGAAUUGGUAUCUGCUCUGAUUAUACUUAGCAUGUACUGGAGUCUUCUCUGAGGUUAAAAGGAAAUUUCAGCAGGUAGGAUUAUCUCCAACAAGUAUUAUAUCCUGCCAAAUUGUGUUUGGAUUUUGCUAGACUUAUUUACUUGUUCACAACACCCAGGGAAGCAGAGACUUUUUUCCUAUAAAGAAUUUGACUCUGUUUGAAGACAUGGGAGUUGUGUUUUCAAGAUGAAUCAGACUCAGAUUGACUUUGGGAUUUGACAUAUUAUUGAUUUACUGACUAACCUUGCUGUUCUGCUGGACAUGCUGUGACUUUUGUGAGCGACACUGAGCUAUUACAAGGCUUCAGGAAUGCUUUCUGGUGGCAUGUUUGGUUUAGGACAGUUCAGCUGAGGCUUUUGUGAUUAACUGCUUUAUAGCUGCAUCUUGGCUCCUGCCUUGUCUCCAGAUUUGUUGGGUGUGCUGAACCACUCCCUGCCUUUCCUCGCUCUCUCCAUCCAGUGUCUUAUCCUGUCUCCUCCUCUGACUCUUUCCAAGAACAAGAACCUCAGUGAAAGAACAGGCCAGGCUUUUUGGGAUGGGAUGUGAUGCCUUUACUAAUGCUUCUGCAGACUUCAGCCUGUGGUCCUUCAUCCAGCUCUAAUUUCUGCUGUUGCUGUUCUCCUGUGCUUCUCUGUCUUACGCUUGUCUCUGCUUUCCAGCUCUUCCCAUAUUGCUGUCCAGUCCUGCAACCCACUUUAAUCAAUGCAAAGCAGGCGUGUUAGUGAGCUUCAGGUCUCUCGGUCUGCUUUUCUUUGUCUCACCACCUGAUGUAGGUUUUUUGUGCUUGUUUUCCAUAUCUACAGUGGGUGACUAUGAUUUAUUUGUCUUUUAAAGGUUGAUCUAAGUGGAGAACUGAUGGUAAGCGUCUGCCACAGCUGUAUCUUAUACCUGCAAAUCCUCUUUCAUGUAAAGGGUAGGGGGCUCUGAGCCUGCUACAGACACAGCAUAGUCCUAACAAAGAGGAGAGAGUGGAGUAAGUGGAGCCAUUGCCUUUCCAAUGGGUUAUUUGUCACCACAAUGGAGUAAAUGCCCCACAGUUUAUGUUCUGUGUGCACAGGAUAAGCCUUAACUAGUCCCGAUUAGGUGCAGACUGAAAAAGAUGGGAAGAAAAUUACAGAUAGUUUUAUUUUUAAAUUUCAAGUUCCGAUUUUCUGUGUGUAAUUACACUGAAACACGUGAGGAAGGAGGUAGUGAUUUAGCAGUUAGCUGCAAAUUAUGAUGAAAUAAAAAAAAAAAGUCAUCUUUGCCCAACAGCUCUGGUUCAAAUGCUCUCAUUUCUUUCAGCAAAACCGCUGUCAUGCCCCCUGCCCACAGUAGUCUGUAUUCUUGGCAUCCUCGUUGUCCCAUGGGGUUCUCGUUUUGGCAUGCUCCCACUCCCAUGCGGUACUAUUUUCUUCCCUCCAAAUAAAAAGAACUGGGCAUUUGUAGGGAUGGUGGGUGAAAAUAAAUCCUGAAAACAUUUAUACUUUUUUCCAUGGAGGAGAAUUUCUAAUCAGCUGUGAUUUAUAGUUCGUUGCUGCACUGGGGCUUUUAAAACAUCAGAUGUAUUAGAUCUAGCCAAUAUAGGCCAAGUCAUUGUGAGAGAUGAAAAUUCUACCUAGAUCUUAAAUCUUUCCUGGCAGUGACAGAUGCCAAAGCCUUUCUGGCAAAAAAUAUACAAUUGUUUUGUCAAAGCUCACUUUAUAAAUACCUUUUGCUGGAAUGAUGAUGCUUUGUAUGAAACACAUUGCAGAAAACUGACAGCGAGGAUGGGAAAUGCUGACCUAGUUUUAUCCAGAACAAAAACAGGAUUUAUUUUUUUUGUACAAUUUUUCUCUUUUUCUUUUCUUUUUUCCCUUGGAAGAAAAGAGAGUUCCGUAAAUGCUAGUGCUUAGGGACUGCAGAAGCUGGAGGAUGGGAGGAAAGAGAAACACCUUUAUGGUCAAAAGCUUAAUAAUUCUGCUAUGACUGUUGGGCAAGCUGAUGGGGCCAACUCCACAUGGUCAAGUCCCAGUACUUCUAAUUGUUUUAACAGUCUUCAGCCCUACAAAAUACCUUCAGCUUCUGCUGAAAAUUGCAGGCAGGCCUAGGUUUUCAGAAAAGGAAGAUUAGAAGAAUAUUAAUUGAGACAUCCUCUUUAACUAAGGGGGGGGUUGUAGGCCUAGGCCCUGUUUUGAGUCCAGGGUGUGUUUAUCUCUAUGUACAUCUCUGUGUACAUCCUAGACUGUUCUUACACCAGAGCACAAGCUUUGAUGUUUAGCUGUGUGGUAAUCCUGGGCACCAUCCUAGGGAUCUUUGUACUCCUUUUGCUGAAUGUCAAGUGGAUUCCUUCUGAUUCCCAACUUGAAAACACUGUCGUCCUUUUGCUUUUGUGUGAAAAAUAGUAGCUUUCUCUAGGCAGGUAGCUCAGUAAGCGCAAGAAAUCAUGUUUCUGGUAAGGGAUAAAGCGAAUUCAUAGGACAAAACUCCAGCAGGACUAUAACCCACCAAAGUAAAACUUCCAGACAUACCAAGGGAACACACUUGUGUGCUUGCUUUCCUUUUUCUAUUAGGUUUCUGCUACUUUGCAUGUGAGCACGGGGAUGUUGAGCUAGAUGGGACUUCAACCUGACCCAACUGGUCAUUCACUUGUCCUUUAUUUUAAAGAGACCUCCAUGCUCUCCCAGGUACUACUGGUGUUUUGGCUGGUUUGGUUCAAGUCCCCUCACUACAGCUUCUGCUUUGCCAUGAGCUCCAGGAUGCUCUCAAGUACAAGCCAUGCUUUGUGUGAUGAAGGGGGCAGGAUCUGAGGCAGCCUCACCAGCAGUUUGGAUAGCAGCUCUUCGUCUCUGUUAUAUCUCCUCUCCUGGUGACCUCAUCUGGUUACUGUAGAAUUUUGCCACUUGGCAGGACAAGCAGCAUUCUGAGAGAUCUAUGCGUGAAAUCAUCAGCAUUUGAAAAUUCCAGCUAUAAGAUAUGCAAUCAGGUGUCUCCUUAAUGACACCAGCUAUUCAACUGCAUCUACCUCCAGACCUUCAAGUGGCUUCUCAGAGAAUUUCAAGCCCAGUUCAUAGUCUGUUCUUUGUUGACAGAGUUCAACAAGCCCUGUGAGAAGGAGACUAGAGAAACACAGAAAAACGUUCAAGACUCCAUGAGGACCAUCUUCAAGCAUCUUACUCCUUUGAACAGUGGAUCUGUGUAUAAUAGGUGAAACCACAGAAUCAUCACAGAAUCAUAAAAUGGUUUGGGUUGAAAAAGACCUCAAAGACCAUCCUGUUCCAACCCCCUGCCAUGAGUAGGGUCACCAACCACUAAAUCAGGCAUUAGAUCAGGUUGCUCUGGUUCCCAUCCAACCUGGCUUUAAACACCUCUAGGGAUGAGGCAUCCACAUCUUCCCUGGAAAUCCCUAGGUGAGAAAUAAAACUUCCCUGGAAGCCAGCCUAAGUGCAAAGCUGAGCCCUUGAGUAAGAAAUUACUUCCACAAAACUCACUUGCAUCUACUCCAAGGCCUUUCUUCAAGCUCACCUUCUUUUGUACCUUAAUCACACGAUGUAUGAACUCCCUUUCUCAAAAGAACCCAACCAAUGCAACAAACACCAGUGAAAGGAAAAGGAGCAAAGAGCAAACAGCUUUUUCCAGUGAUGGGGACAACAUAAGAAGCAGUAUAAGCCCCUGCCUGAUACUCAGAGCACAAAACCCAGCAGGGAGAGGGGUAAUGGAAUUUGGAGGCAACUGGUGUUCAAAGACCUCGCUUGAAAUGGGCCUAUGCUAAUGCUGAGGGAAAGCUCUCUCCAAGAUCUGGGACAAUGCAUAACUGCACAGGUGGACCAAUGCUGCUUUGAUAAUGCCAAAGAAGAGAAGAAGUGGAGAGAAAGAAAAAUGCUCAUUUUCAGCUGCAGUAGAUCCAAGUAGAUCCGAAAUGAAAUCCAGCCCCCAAAUACCUCCAGCUGGUGAAGGACUGGGAGCUCACCAGGAUGGGGUGAUGAUGGAAGAAAACAUGAAUAUUAACAGCUCAGCACCUGGAGUCAUCAGCCAAGAUUGCAGGCCCCUCACAAGAGGUGAUGGCCAAAAAAACGGCGAGAUCCAACCAGCUCCCUGUCCCCAUGGGCACAGCCAGCAGGGAAGGAGCAUUGUGGGGACAGACUGGGGUGGUCACUGUCAAGCCUGGAGCAGAGGGAGGAAGGGUUGGGGCUGCCCUGAGCCCAGGCAUCUCUGUGACCCAGGAACCGCGGGCCUUGCGGAGCGCUAAUUACGGAUGAAACCAGUCUAAGCCUUUAAAAGAAAAAAGGACGUACAGGAGGAAAUCCACAGCGUUUGACCGGACCUGCGGUUCCAAUUCAGGGUGAGCAAUGCACAUAAAAGGGAUCCAACGAGUGCCAGAAUUAAAGAAUGAGCAGAAUUAAGGUUUUGAGUCUUACGUAUUUUGGUAUUAGACGAGCUCUAAAGACCCUCGUGGUAACCACAAGUGGUGACCUAUUGCUUUGAUCCGCAACAUCUACCAGAAAAUAUAUUUUGCCAACAGAUCCUUCUGCUCCCACAGUAAUGAACCUCCACCAAAGAUAAAUGCAUUUGGACAUGCAUUUGAUCUUGCUAUAUGAUUUGAAUGCAUUUGCAAUUCUGUACUCACCAUUUAAAUUCACUGUAGAGAGCAAGUUGCAAUACUUUUAACGGGCUCUAAUCUCUCUGGUUUCAGUUUGAGACCAAGAGGCAUUUCAUAUCAUCAGCACUGGAUUUGUAUUGUAUGCUCAGAAAAUAGGAAUGGAUUUCCAGGGGGUUUAAUUUAUCAAUAUCUGGUCUUUAUGGGAAACAUUAGUUUGCAUAGGAAAAGGGGUUAAAGGAAGGUUUAAAUUAUGUCUCUAAUAUUUCCUGAAAACUUUGUACAAAAAUAUUCUAUGCCACAAAAGCCCAUUAAAUAUUCAAACUUUAAUAUACAUUCCUCAGUAACAAAUGUACAGUUAGAUAACACAUAAAGAAUUGUGAAUGACUAAUUAUAUUUUGCAUAUUUACAGCAAAGACAAUUAGCAAAUAGCUUUUAUAUGCAAAAUAAAUGAAAAAGUAAUUAAGAUGCACUAACUAGAGCAGCAAUAUCAAGUCUGUUGUCUUGUGAUUCAUUCCUAACAAACAUAAUAAUUAUGCAUUCAUUGUCAUAUAAUUAAAACAGCUCUGUCCUUUAGAAAACUGGUUAUUUACUGUAUAAUAACCUGAAGAGUGGCAGAAGUUCCUCAUAAUGGUGAGAAGGAUAAUUAAAUAUUUCUUCCUGGUGUCUGCUCACUCAGUUGAGUUUAUUAUCUUAAACUUCUGCGUGAAAACAUUUCUUUGGCAGUUCCAACCCCUCUCCCCAGCUCACCUCCUCCCCACUGGGAAAGCUGUGCCUCCUGUUCCCUGCUCCCACACCAAAACCUCCCCGAGCACUGCCAAAAUGGUCAUGGCAUUAAAUCCCACCCCAGCAGGAGGAAGCUCAUGGGUCUCACUUGGGAGGACGGGGAUGCUCCAAUUCAAACCAUCUCCUCCAUGCUGUGACCUUGGUUGAACUCCUUUGGUGUCACUGCUGGAGGUGACCACGUGUCUCAUUUUGGGAGUGGAGAAUAUCUCCUGGCCUGAACGUGCCAUGGUCCUUGGAUGGAGCACAGCAGCAAACCUCUGUCCUCCAGCUGCAACCCAGGGCACAUCCGCCUCUCUCCAUCCUCCUACUGCUUUCAUUCCCCAGCUCUUAUUAUAGCUCAGUAAAACAUGAUAAAUCAUUUGGUCUCAACUGGAACCAUUAAUCAAUGCACAACAGACAGUAAUGUCCAGUACCAUACACCAUCUCUAUAAUACCAUUAUCAUCAACCACUCUUUUUGUCUUAAAACUGCAUUUUCCUCUAAACCUCAACUGCAGAAUAUACUGAGCUGCAGCAGAGGAAAAGCAAAGUAAUUGUUCAGCUGAACAUGGUGCUGGCCUGGAUCUGUAAUCGGAUUUCAGGGGACUCAAUAGGUGAGGAGCAGGGCACAGGGAGCCAGUCACCGACGUGUGCUGGGAUGGACAGACUCAGCCCCGUCCUCCUCUUGGAGCCUCAGCUCAACGCCAGCCCUGUGUGAACCCACACUGAGGGAGCUGGGGUGGAUUUCAUUGCCUGCAGCCCCUCAGCCCAUUGCUAGGAGUGUUUGGGGUAACCUGAGAUUCGCCUUGAAGGGGUGAGUGAGAUGCAAAAUGCACAGAAAAAAAGAAAGAAAGGGAUAACAUUGAGCUGUUGGCCUCUGCCAGGAGUGAAAUCUUUGCACAUAUUUCUCAAUACUCCAGGGGAAAAAUAUUAAAGUCCCUACAGGCUUUGUUACUCAAUUCAUUUACUCAAACCUCUCUAUCUGCUUGCUUCCUCUUUGGGAAGCAAUGGGGCUUGGCCUGGCCUGAACAGAGGGACCUCGUGCUGUUGCUCCCCUGGAAUUAGUCAUCCUUCAAAGUUCUGGUCUCAAAUUGGUCCCCAUCUCUCCUCACUUCUAACUUAGCACAGAAUGGGGAUGGGCCAUAUUCUCUAUUAAAUCCUACAGAGCGGAGAUUUCAGCAUGUUUGGGCCACGCUUACACUUCCUUAGGCUGACCUGGUGCUUAGGUGCAUUCCUCAACAGCUCUGUCUUUCUCCUUUAUCCCCUUCGUACCGAUAUUGAACAACCAAGGUUUACUCUCCUCGUGCACAGCCAAUGCCUAGUCCACUACUUGAGUCAGAGCAAGGAUGGAGGGCAAUACCUGUUAGUAUGGGCAAUACCACUGGGACCCCUUGGAGACUCAUUUUCUCUCCUAUUCCCUUGACAUAUACAAUGCUGCAAACCAUCUCUACCAUGCAUGGAGGAACAGGGAUCAUUAAGCAACCUAUAAGGACCAUUCGCCAUCCUAUAGUGAGCAUUAGCCAUUGUAUAGGAAGCGUGAGCUUCCAGAGCCUGCAGGGUGUCAGGAUACAGUUCUGUGCAGAGCUGUCAGAAGAGACUUAACCUCACUCUGUCCCUCUUUACCCAAACUAAGAAGAUUGCAAGGCUUAGUUGAUGUUUGUGAGUGCCUCAGGGUUAUGAGAUGAUAGGCACUAUGUACAUGCAAGUGUAUUAUAAUGCAUGUCAUAAGUAGAAUUAAUAAGCUAUAAGGUAUUAAUGUAAAGGUAGCACGCGCUCCUGCAUGAUGACCUUUCUAUCUGCAUCUUUACAGGCAUCCAGAAAAUGACUGCUAAUUUAAAAUCGGGUUAAGAAGAAAUAACGUAGUCCAUCAGUAUGGGAUAAUGAGUCAGUAAAUAUCAUUUAUACAAAAUGAGUCAGCAGUAAGAACUAUGAUAAAAAGAGAUGAGAGGGAGAGAGUGCUAGGAGAGAUGGGUAUGACACAUGCAUUCAUUUCAGAACUUAUAAUGUUCUUUUUGGAAAUCUGGCUUUGAUUUUGGGCACUUCUCAUCUAAAAUGUUGGGGAUCCCAGCAGGAGCUGGGCGCAGAGCCAGAAGGGGGGACGUUUUGCCUCAGACAUUUUGUAAAGGGCAAGCUGAGCCCUCAGGAAAGAAUCAGAAGGUCCUCUGUGAGUUACAUGAAGUUGGGGUCAACAUCAGAAGCCCUUUAAGCAUUCCUGAUCAUAGAAGCAUCAAUCUGUUUUCUCAGAAUCAUUGAGGUCGGAAAAGGU
Long non-coding RNA from Numida meleagris (helmeted guineafowl), 11563 nucleotides. RefSeq lists it as uncharacterized. NCBI's taxonomy places the organism in Eukaryota, Metazoa, Chordata, Aves, Galliformes, Numididae. The transcript is spliced from 13 exons. The record is from RefSeq and is a predicted model, not a curated record.